This 253-nucleotide ribosomal RNA is filed under the name uncultured bacterium. Its description in RNAcentral is "partial 16S ribosomal RNA". It matches the Rfam family "Bacterial small subunit ribosomal RNA", at positions 524 to 776 of the family's 1533-position model. The record is from RNAcentral.
GACAGAGGAUGCAAGCGUUAUCCGGAAUGAUUGGGCGUAAAGCGUCUGUAGGUGGCUUUUUAAGUCUGCCGUCAAAUCCCAGGGCUUAACCCUGGACAGGCGGUGGAAACUACCAAGCUGGAGUACGGUAGGGGCAGAGGGAAUUCCUGGUGUAGCGGUGAAAUGCGUAGAGAUCAGGAAGAACAUCGGUGGCGAAGGCGCUCUGCUGGACCAUAACUGACACUCAGGGACGAAAGCUAGGGGAGCGAAUGGG